AAUUAACCCCUUUAGGUCUAAGCCCUUAGAGCGCAAUAUCUACUAAGCAAAUAUAUGGAAUUGUUUUAAGGACCCCUGCAGGUAUAAAAAAAAUAUACCUAUAUUUGAUAAAACAUUGAAUUUGGCCUUUACUGCUAUAGCCCAUAGAAACGCAUUGAAUAACACAUUUGUACAUGGCAAACAGACGGUGUCUGUCCUAUUUCUGAGAAAUAUAAGAACUUUGUGAGAGUCUCCCUUUUCUAUAUUGGUGACAUAUUAUUUUGUAGCUCCAAUGGUUCGGUCUGGACAACUUGUUCUGUGAGAAGAUCUCUUCGAAAUGAGGAUGUCCGCGACAGAAAGUUCAGACAACUGACGUAAAGCUUGUGGAUGUCGUAGAGUGGAACAACCGUUGUGUUCAGAAAAAGACCGCUUUCACAAACCCACGUUAUGGAAUAGGCUCAAACUCUAUAUCGGUGGAAAGAAGGGAUUGAGCUGCAGCCACAACAAGAAACAAUGUUUGAGAAGAGGCACGUAGGGGAGAGUGGGGUAAGUUGAGCCAAAGAGGUAAGUUGAGACACACUUGUUUCUAGUAAACCAUACACAAAAUGAAUAAUUUGACCAAAUAUUUAGGAAGUCAUCAUGCUAUUGAGUCUGUGAAGGAAGUAACCACAUGGAAAAAGUGGUAAGUUCGGUCCCCAAAAAUUAUUUUCACAAAGUCAAAUAAAUGUAUUGUUUUAGAGGUUUCAUGAUGCUUGUAUCUGAACAAAAGUAGAUACUUUGAAGAUUGUUUUAUACAUCAGUUGGGGUCUCGAUAAGCUUCAAAAUGAGGUCCUAAACCUAGCAUGAAAGUGCAUCCUUGUAGCUCUGUGGGCUAAUAUAGUCAAAAUGUUUGCCUUGAGGUAAGUUGAGCCAAUGGC
This 896-nucleotide long non-coding RNA is filed under the name Salmo salar (Atlantic salmon). RNAcentral describes it as "lncRNA (ENSSSAG00000110763.1, ENSSSAG00020063463.1)". Lineage: Eukaryota; Metazoa; Chordata; Actinopteri; Salmoniformes; Salmonidae. The record is from RNAcentral.